Molecule: long non-coding RNA, 692 nt
Organism: Anthonomus grandis grandis
Lineage: Eukaryota; Metazoa; Arthropoda; Insecta; Coleoptera; Curculionidae
Exons: 3
Source: RefSeq, a predicted model, not a curated record
UGUUGUCGCUGACAGGUGAUUCCGUUACUGGCCAAGACACAUCGUGGACCGACAAGGAAUUUAUGGUAGCUCGUAAGUUGCCCUUCUGUCCGCACACGUUGUCGUGUGCAUCCGAUAUACAUAGAAUACACUGCUGGCACAUAGUAAAUAUUCAAAGUCCGGAGAAAAGGCAAACACCCUUCGCAUCCCCUGGGGUGCAGCGAUAAUGUCACUACCAGACGUGACUUGACGUUGAUUUAAAUUGUUUAACGUUUCAUUGUUAGUUACCUACAUAUUUUAUUUGGUAUUAGUGCACCAGUUAAAUAGAUAUUAAAUUUGGCAAAUCUCACUUACUGAAAGCAGGCUUAUUCACAUAUACAACAAUAAUAGAUUUGCUAAUUAAUUUUUAAUAAUGCAGUGUGUUCAAUAAAUAAAAAAUGUUGCUGGAGGCAAGAAAAACUCUCACAAAGGAUCAUAUUUUGUCCACAAAAGUAGAAAAAGGUUAUUUUCGAAAAAAUCCGGAACGACGAAUCCAAAGAAAGCUUAAAAGGAGAUCCAGUACACCGGAAAAUGGUUUGACCCACCCCAAAAAGGGAUCGGUGAUCUGUUAAAGGGACGUUUGCGGCAUACAAAGGAAAAAAACCUACCUAAUAGCAAAUUAAAACGAUAUAAAUCACCGGAGGCGUAAAGGGAAUAUAAAUAAAAAAGGCGGG